CCUACGGGGGGCAGCAGUGGGGGAUAUUGGACAGUGGGGGAAACCCUGAUCCAGCGACGCCGCGUGAGGGAAGAAGUAUUUCGGUAUGGAAAGCUCUAUCAGCAGGGAAGAAAGAAAUGACGGUACCUGAGGAAGAAGCCUCGGCUAACUACGUGCCAGCAGCCGCGGUAAUACGUAGGGGGCAAGCGUUCUCCGGAAUUACUGGGUGUAAAGGGAGCGUAGACGGUAAUGCAAGUCUGGAGUGAAAGGCGGGGGCCCAACCCCCGGACUGCUCUGGAAACUGUGUAACUGGAGUGCAGGAGAGGCAGGCGGAAUUCCUAGUGUAGCGGUGAAAUGCGUAGAUAUUAGGAGGAACACCAGUGGCGAAGGCGGCCUGCUGGACUGUAACUGACGCUGAGGCUCGAAAGCGUGGGGAGCAAACAGGAUUAGAUACCCUGGUAGUC
This 443-nucleotide ribosomal RNA is filed under the name uncultured bacterium. RNAcentral describes it as "partial 16S ribosomal RNA". It matches the Rfam family "Bacterial small subunit ribosomal RNA", at positions 338 to 795 of the family's 1533-position model. The record is from RNAcentral.